CUUACCUACGGGGCGCAGCAGUGGGGGAUAUUGCACAGUGGGGGGAACCCUGAUGCAGCGACGCCGCGUGGGUGAAGAAGCGCCUCGGCGCGUAAAGCCCUGUCAGCAGGGGAGAAAAUGACGGUACCUGAAGAAGAAGCCCCGGCUAACUACGUGCCAGCAGCCGCGGUAAUACGUAGGGGGCAAGCGUUAUCCGGAUUUACUGGGUGUAAAGGGAGCGUAGACGGCAGAGCAAGUCUGAAGUGAAAGUCCGCGGCCCAACUGCGGGACU
Molecule: ribosomal RNA, 271 nt
Filed under: uncultured bacterium
Lineage: Bacteria
Description: partial 16S ribosomal RNA
Rfam family: Bacterial small subunit ribosomal RNA
Source: RNAcentral